RNAcentral lists this ribosomal RNA (289 nucleotides) under uncultured Bacillus sp. RNAcentral describes it as "partial 16S ribosomal RNA". The record is from RNAcentral. Lineage: Bacteria; Bacillati; Bacillota; Bacilli; Caryophanales; Bacillaceae.
CUACCGGGGUAUCUAAUCCUGUUUGCUCCCCACGCUUUCGCGCCUCAGUGUCAGUUACAGACCAGAAAGUCGCCUUCGCCACUGGUGUUCCUCCAAAUAUCUACGCAUUUCACCGCUACACUUGGAAUUCCACUUUCCUCUUCUGCACUCAAGUUCCCCAGUUUCCAAUGACCCUCCACGGUUGAGCCGUGGGCUUUCACAUCAGACUUAAGAAACCACCUGCGCGCGCUUUACGCCCAAUAAUUCCGGACAACGCUUGCCACCUACGUAUUACCGCGGCUGCUGGCAC